RNAcentral lists this ribosomal RNA (253 nucleotides) under uncultured bacterium. Its description in RNAcentral is "partial 16S ribosomal RNA". It matches the Rfam family "Bacterial small subunit ribosomal RNA", at positions 524 to 776 of the family's 1533-position model. The record is from RNAcentral.
UACGAAGGGGGCUAGCGUUGUUCGGAAUUACUGGGCGUAAAGCGCACGUAGGCGGAUUUGUAAGUAGGGGGUGAAAUCCCCGGGCUCAACCCGGGAACUGCCUUCUAGACUGCAAGUCUUGAGGUCAGGAGAGGCGAGUGGAAUUCCGAGUGUAGAGGUGAAAUUCGUAGAUAUUCGGAGGAACACCAGUGGCGAAGGCGACUCGCUGGACUGAUACUGACGCUGAGGUGCGAAAGCGUGGGGAGCAAACAGG